Long non-coding RNA from Oncorhynchus nerka (sockeye salmon), 1719 nucleotides. RefSeq lists it as uncharacterized. Lineage: Eukaryota; Metazoa; Chordata; Actinopteri; Salmoniformes; Salmonidae. The record is from RefSeq and is a predicted model, not a curated record. The transcript is spliced from 2 exons.
UCCUGCUCACGAAGCAAUGUUGGAAUGGAAGUGUUUGAGUACCUCCAAUCUGUACUGAUUAUUCUUGCAAUGCAUUGUGUAAUGAAACACAAGAUGGCGGCAGGGCAGUUUUGCUGAACGUGUUGUGACACACUGUUUGUUUCAAGUGUUACAAGUUUUUAUUACUUAGCAAAACCGUUAUAGGCUGUGAGAGUUGUUAUUAAACAACAGGCAAAAUCUGGUGCCCUUCCUGAAAGCCGAGAGAGAAUACAUCUGUGCUGUGACUGACGACCUAGACACGUUGAGCCGACUAGCCUUGGAUACUCCUCAACGGUCAGGUUUUUAUCAGUGUUUCGCCAUUCUACCGGAGUCUUCUGACUCCGCUUCUGCCCCGCUGUGUGGUGGAAGCCGGAGGUUGGUAUCUACGCUGUGACAACGUCUAGAUGCGCUAGGCUUCCUAGCCCAGGAUACCCCUGUCAGGUGGACUAGCCACCAGUGAUUAGCCGGUGUACUGGGCCCGCUUUGCCUCACUGUGCGGUCUGGACUAGCAGAAGUUUCCAGUCCUGUAGAUUUCAGGAGCAGCAGAGACCUUACUCCCCCAACAUGUCUUCCCUGAUCGCUGAUAGGAAGUGAACUUGUCUACUGUCACGACUUCCGCCGAAGUCGGCUCCUCUCCUUGUUCGGCCGGCGUUCUGCGGUCAACGUCACCGACUUUCAAGCCAUCGCUGCUCCAUUUUUUAUUGAUCCAUUUGUUUUGUCUUGUUCCCUGCACACCUGGUUUUCAUUCCCCAAUCACACUGCAUGUAUUUAUUCCUCUAUUCCCCCUCAUGUCUUUGUGUGAAUUGUUUGUGUUACGUGUUAAUUGUUGACGCGCCAGACUGGUUUCCUUAUACCGUGUUGUUCACGAAGAUGUUUAUUGUUAAACAUAAAUUAUUGUGACUGUUUUGCGCGUUUUGCACUUUUGCCUAUGGGCUGGAGGUUGACACAGUGGCGUCCGUCUGUUGGUUUCUCCUGCCUCAAUAAACUCUCUACUCUCCUGCACCUGACUUCGCUACCAGUACGCACACACCUGACAUCUACAAAAUAUCCCUGUCUAAAUUAUAGUUUUUAGUAAGACCUGUUGUUGGGAUGUGUAAAAAAAUCUAAAGCUACUGAUCUGACCAAAUACACUGAGUUACAUUUUUUUUGUCUGGAAAAAGUAGAUUUUUUUUCAACACCCCCAUUAUUAUAUGAACUGUUUUCCCCGUUGUUCUUAAUGAAUGACAAAUUAAGGAAAUGUAUUGGGACAUAUCUGUCAGCAAAAUGCUAUAAAAAGUACAAUCAUGACAUGUAGUUAGAUAUGAGGUGAAAUGUUCCAUAUUUAAAUUUACAUUUACAUUUAAGUCAUUUGGCAGACGCUCUUAUCCAGAGCGACUUACAAAUUGGUGCGUUCACCUUAUGACUUAUGACAUAAAUCUAUAUAAUUAUUGUACAUCAUGCACUGUAACUGAAACUAAAAUACCCACUGUUGAUACAAACAAAGAUGAACAACAAUUAAUAAUUGAAGUAGAUUGGGACCUUGUUAGUCAAGAGGAGCAACCCAGCAGACACAGAGCAACCACAGAAUGUUGCCACAACAUUGCCUCAAAGUUGUGUGGUGGCUGUAUAGUAUUGCAUAUUGCAUCUGUCAUUGUAAGCCCUCUGUGUUCUGUCAUUUUUUCCCAGAAUAAACAGUAAGAAUAAAAUGGUUUGGAAUAUGUA